This 72-nucleotide transfer RNA is filed under the name Fukomys damarensis (Damara mole-rat). It matches the Rfam family "tRNA". From Rfam's summary of the family: Transfer RNA (tRNA) molecules are approximately 80 nucleotides in length. Their secondary structure includes four short double-helical elements and three loops (D, anti-codon, and T loops). Lineage: Eukaryota; Metazoa; Chordata; Mammalia; Rodentia; Bathyergidae. The record is from Rfam by way of RNAcentral.
GGAGGUGUAGUUCAGUGGUAGAGUGUUUGCCUACAGUGUAAAAGGCCAUCGGUUCAAUCCCCAGCACCACGA